This 267-nucleotide ribosomal RNA is filed under the name uncultured bacterium. Its description in RNAcentral is "partial 16S ribosomal RNA". It matches the Rfam family "Bacterial small subunit ribosomal RNA", at positions 793 to 1055 of the family's 1533-position model. The record is from RNAcentral.
GUCCACGCCCUAAACGAUGUCAACUAGUUGUUGGUAGAGUAAAAUCUAUGAGUAACGCAGCUAACGCGUGAAGUUGACCGCCUGGGGAGUACGAUCGCAAGAUUAAAACUCAAAUGAAUUGACGGGGGCCCCGCACAAGCGGUGGAUUAUGUGGAUUAAUUCGAUGCAACGCGAAAAACCUUACCUGGCCUUGACAUGUACGGAACUUUCCAGAGAUGGAUUGGUGCUCGAAAGAGAGCCGUAACACAGGUGCUGCAUGGCUGUCGU